RNAcentral lists this ribosomal RNA (112 nucleotides) under uncultured bacterium. RNAcentral describes it as "partial 16S ribosomal RNA". It matches the Rfam family "Bacterial small subunit ribosomal RNA", at positions 355 to 464 of the family's 1533-position model. The record is from RNAcentral.
UGAGGAAUAUUGGUCAAUGGGCGAGAGCCUGAACCAGCCAAGUAGCGUGAAGGAUGACUGCCCUAUGGGGUUGUAAACUUCUUUUAUAAGGAAUAAAGUACGGGUUAGUGGA